UCCUGGUGGCUUAGAUGGUAAAGACUCUGCCUGUAAUGCAGGAGACCUGGGUUCAAUCCCUAGGUCAGGAA
RNAcentral lists this transfer RNA (71 nucleotides) under Bos taurus (domestic cattle). It matches the Rfam family "tRNA". From Rfam's summary of the family: Transfer RNA (tRNA) molecules are approximately 80 nucleotides in length. Their secondary structure includes four short double-helical elements and three loops (D, anti-codon, and T loops). RNAcentral also lists the same sequence under 2 other names. Lineage: Eukaryota; Metazoa; Chordata; Mammalia; Artiodactyla; Bovidae. The record is from Rfam by way of RNAcentral.